This 116-nucleotide ribosomal RNA is filed under the name Escherichia coli. Lineage: Bacteria; Pseudomonadati; Pseudomonadota; Gammaproteobacteria; Enterobacterales; Enterobacteriaceae. The record is from RNAcentral.
CCUGGCGGCCUUAGCGCGGUGGUCCCACCUGACCCCAUGCCGAACUCAGAAGUGAAACGCCGUAGCGCCGAUGGUAGUAUGGGGUCUCCCCAUGCGAGAGUAGGGAACUGCCAGGC